AGUUUGAUCCUGGCUCAGGAUGAACGCUAGCUACAGGCUUAACACAUGCAAGUCGAGGGGCAUCAGGAAGAAAGCUUGCUUUCUUUGCUGGCGACCGGCGCACAGGUGAAACCACCUCUCCCACCCCCCCUUUAUCGGGGAAACCUUAAAAGAGAAGUUUUAACCCCGAUUUAUAACUCUUCCGCUUGGUUUAAUAUAAAAGGUUCCGGUAAAGGGUGGGGACGCUUCCUUUUGGGUUGUGGGGAGGCACCCGCCACCACACCCUUUGAGAGGAAGGUGUUUGAGAGGAGAGGCCCCCCCAAUUGGAAAUGAACCCCGGUCCAAAUCUCUUGGGGAGGCACCAGUGAGAAUAUUGGUCAAGGGGCCGGACCCUGACCCAGCCAAAGUAGGGAAAGGAUGACUCCCUUAGGGGUUGAAAAUUUUUUUAAUAUAGAAUAAAGGCCAGUAUGUAUACUGUUUUGUAUGUAUAAUAAGAAUAAGGAUCGGCUAACUCCGUGCCAGCAGCCGCGGUAAUACGGAGGAUCCGAGCGUUAUCCGGAUUUAUUGGGUUUAAAGGGAGCGUAGGUGGACUGGUAAGUCAGUUGUGAAAGUUUGCGGCUCAACCGUAAAAUUGCAGUUGAUACUGUCAGUCUUGAGUACAGUAGAGGUGGGCGGAAUUCGUGGUGUAGCGGUGAAAUGCUUAGAUAUCACGAAGAACUCCGAUUGCGAAGGCAGCUCACUGGACUGCAACUGACACUGAUGCUCGAAAGUGUGGGUAUCAAACAGGAUUAGAUACCCUGGUAGUCCACACAGUAAACGAUGAAUACUCGCUGUUUGCGAUAUACAGUAAGCGGCCAAGCGAAAGCAUUAAGCAUCCCACCUGGGGAGUACGCCGGCAACGGUGAAACUCAAAGGAAUUGACGGGGGCCCGCACAAGCGGAGGAACAUGUGGUUUAAUUCGAUGAUACGCGAGGAACCUUACCCGGGCUUGAAUUGCAGAGGAAGGAUUUGGAGACAAUGACGCCCUUCGGGGCCUCUGUGAAGGUGCUGCAUGGUUGUCGUCAGCUCGUGCCGUGAGGUGUCGGCUUAAGUGCCAUAACGAGCGCAACCCCUCUCCUUAGUUGCCAUCAGGUCAAGCUGGGCACUCUGGGGACACUGCCACCGUAAGGUGUGAGGAAGGUGGGGAUGACGUCAAAUCAGCACGGCCCUUACGUCCGGGGCUACACACGUGUUACAAUGGCAGGUACAGAGAGACGGUCCCUUGCAAAAUGGAUCAAAUCCUUAAAGCCUGUCUCAGUUCGGACUGGGGUCUGCAACCCGACCCCACGAAGCUGGAUUCGCUAGUAAUCGCGCAUCAGCCAUGGCGCGGUGAAUACGUUCCCGGGCCUUGUACACACCGCCCGUC
This 1384-nucleotide ribosomal RNA is filed under the name uncultured bacterium. RNAcentral describes it as "bacterial SSU rRNA". It matches the Rfam family "Bacterial small subunit ribosomal RNA". The record is from RNAcentral.